This 253-nucleotide ribosomal RNA is filed under the name uncultured bacterium. RNAcentral's name for it is "partial 16S ribosomal RNA". It matches the Rfam family "Bacterial small subunit ribosomal RNA", at positions 524 to 776 of the family's 1533-position model. The record is from RNAcentral.
UACGAAGGGGGCUAGCGUUGCUCGGAAUCACUGGGCGUAAAGGGUGCGUAGGCGGGUCUUUAAGUCAGGGGUGAAAUCCUGGAGCUCAACUCCAGAACUGCCUUUGAUACUGAGGAUCUUGAGUUCGGGAGAGGUAAGUGGAACUGCGAGUGUAGAGGUGAAAUUCGUAGAUAUUCGCAAGAACACCAGUGGCGAAGGCGGCUUACUGGUCCGGUUCUGACGCUGAGGCGCGAAAGCGUGGGGAGCAAACAGG